CCACAUUUUACACAAGUACCAAAUUUGGUGUGAAUGAUAUCUUAAUGAAAGACGUUAUUUCUAAUGCCAGGAUCCUAUUAGAAGCGCAAUAAUCGACUCAUGUAUACGGGUGACUGACAAUGGGAGAGAAAUCAUUCAAAGAAAAGUAUUCUUCAUUUUCACACUUUACAAUACUUCUAAUCACAAUGAUCAACUAAAGUUGGGAGCAAGCAGUCCAGAAGAAGCCGCACUUCAUGUUCAUAACUUUCAGGAGGCAGCUUUAAAGG
Non-coding RNA from Camellia sinensis, 266 nucleotides. NCBI's taxonomy places the organism in Eukaryota, Viridiplantae, Streptophyta, Magnoliopsida, Ericales, Theaceae. The record is from RefSeq and is a predicted model, not a curated record.